This is a long non-coding RNA of Spinacia oleracea (spinach), 446 nucleotides long. RefSeq lists it as uncharacterized. Lineage: Eukaryota; Viridiplantae; Streptophyta; Magnoliopsida; Caryophyllales; Amaranthaceae. The transcript is spliced from 3 exons. The record is from RefSeq and is a predicted model, not a curated record.
AGAAAACCCAAAAACCGUAUCUUUCAUACUUCGUAUCUUCCUUCUCGUGUACUGCUGUUUGCUAUCCUACCGUCAUCGUUUUCCUUCUCUGCUCGUGCCCUACUGUUGGUCAAACAGCCUUCACCACCGGUACCAAGUUCGUAGAAUGGAGAUUCUAGCUAGCUCGUUACCCUUAAUUAAGUUGUUUUCGUACUACAAAAGCCAAUCUACAGGUUUGCGAAUAAGCAUGCAUGGGGAUAGAUUGUGAAGUACCUUUUCCCUUUGAAUAUUACAUUGGUUUUGGAUUUUAAUAUGUUGCAACUACUUAACUUAAUUUAUUCCCUGGAUUUAAUAAGGGGCCUAUUGAGGUCUCCACAUUGUAUUUGAAUCAAUCGUUUUAAGACUUCCGUUGUUUGUUUUCAAAGUUAUACUAUAAAAGUUAAACCGGUUUUUAAUUAAUUAUUUCA